RNAcentral lists this small nuclear RNA (234 nucleotides) under Microtus ochrogaster (prairie vole). RNAcentral's name for it is "7SK RNA (ENSMOCG00000008615.1)". It matches the Rfam family "7SK RNA". From Rfam's summary of the family: 7SK was discovered as an abundant small nuclear RNA in the mid-70s but a possible function has only recently been suggested. Two independent studies have found that 7SK RNA binds the CDK9/cyclin T complex (known as elongation factor P-TEFb). The record is from RNAcentral. Lineage: Eukaryota; Metazoa; Chordata; Mammalia; Rodentia; Cricetidae.
GGAAAUGGGUUAAUCAAGAUAUAAGAGCUAGCUAGAAAUACCUCACUGCUCCGUGUGCGUCCCUCCCAAAGCUGUAUGCGCAGUUGAAGAGGACGGCCUUCCCCCAAUAGAGGAGGACAGGUCUGCACUCCCCUGCUAGAACCUCCAAACAAGCUCUCAAGAAAAUGUCAGGAUCUUAUUCAUUGAACAAAAGAAAGAAUAAAAGGCUACUCAAUGCAAGGCAUAGUGUGGAUG